Molecule: long non-coding RNA, 1844 nt
Organism: Chrysemys picta bellii (western painted turtle)
Lineage: Eukaryota; Metazoa; Chordata; Testudines; Emydidae
Source: Ensembl
ACGUCUGACCCUCCUGCUCUCUCUUCUGACCCAGUCUCCCCCUCUGUGUCCAGAUGACCUCCCUGGGCAGUGGCAGGCUUGUGAAGGGCUAGGAGCAGCCCGCUUCCACUUAGGAGACCCCGAGAAGGCGAUCCUGCAUUACAAGGAGGCACUAACGUUGCUCUCUAAGUGCCGGGAUGUCCCCGAAACGGCCCAGGAGCGGAUCGUGAACAAGCUCACGGAUGCCAUCCAGUACCAGCUCUCUCUGAACAGCCGCUUCUCCCACGGGGGCGGGAUAGCCGCGGCUGCCCCUCUGAAACACUUUCCUGGGAAGUUACAGACCUCCAGUCAGGUCCGGUUUUCCACAGCACUGCACCAGGGGCAUGGGAACAGGCCCCAGGCAUUGCACCAGGGAAGCAAUUCGUCCUUCGUGAAGCACAUCCCCCCAGCAGAGACCACAGAGGAGCAAUAUGAGUCCGUGCUGGGUGCUUCAAUGCAUCCGAGACCUUCUCCACAGCGAAGGGCCCGGGGUGGCUCGCAGCACACUGGGAGGCAGCCUCUGCAGGGACCAAGUUACAGGGCUUCAGAGGUGGGUGCGGCACAGACAACGGUCCUGGCGGAAGGAUCCCCGCUAGAUCACAGAGACCCACGCUGCCGCCCGGUGCUAGCACACAAUCGCUGCGAGGAGCUCAACAGCGCUGUCACGGCUCCAGAAUAUCACAAUCAGCCUCAGGCUAAUAGCAAUUUGAACAACACUUACCUGCACCCGGAUUCUUUCUACUACAACUGCCUGCAGAAUGGGAAUUGCCAUCAUUCAUCGAAAAAUUUCACAGGCCCUCACGACUAUGAAACCCUCCGACUGAGAACGAGGACCCUGGAGCGGUAGGUGAUGCUGCAGUGGGAACAGUUCCCAGGCCAUGGGGGCGGGAUCGUUUGUCGGGAGUAGGUCCAUUGGGAGUUGGGUUGGGAUCACGCCCUGAAUUCACCCCACCAACUUCUCUGCAGCACCCCAGCGAGGAAAUAAGGCCAUUGCUCGGGUACUGAGUAGAGCUGGAAGAACUGUGGCCUAGCGGUGGGAGCUUGGAAAGAGAAACUAGAGCUGCUAGCUAAUGGAAUCCGCUGCCCAGCCAGCUCACCUGUCCGAUCCCCCGGCGGCGUGCGGAGUCACUGCAACUCCUCGCCCUGCGUCACAGCUAAAAAACAGCGUUAAUCGCUCCCCUCGUGUUUGCUCCCCUCGUAGAGCUGCUGCCAACCCAGCUGGAUGUCUCCCUGGCGAGAGACCGGAGCCCUGGCAACAGCAAAGGAGACGCAGGUUCGAGUCCAUAAUGUGCAUGCUCAUGUGAUGGUAAAUUACAGCGGCUUGGCUUUGCUCUGCUCUGAGUAAACCAGGGAUGCUUAGACAUUGAGUCAUAGCAGGGUGCAGGGCACAUUUACCCUUCUCGGUCUACAAAGCCCUCCACAGACUUCCCCACAACCUCUUCAAGGCACCGUCCUCCUCUCUGUCCCUCCACCACUGGUGCAAGGGCCUUCUCCUCUGCACCCCUCGCCCUCUGGCGCAACCUCCAUCUUGCCGAAUCCCCAGCUCAUCUCGCCUGAGACACGAGACAGGAUGUCUUUCCACAAGUCGUCGGGCUCAGCAUAGGAGUGGCCGAGCGCAAUCCCCCAGCCGUGUAUUAGCCAGACGAGAUGACCAUGGAGGUCCUUCUUGACAUUACAAAUGCACGAUGCAAAUUUAGAUGAUAAACGCUUUGGGGCAGGGAGCGUCGUUUUGUACAGCAGCUUGCACCAUGGGGUCAGGAUAGAGCUCCCGAGUGCAAUGGCUUACACAUAAUAAAAUGCAAAUAUGUCUUUCCUCCCUCCCUCUC